UAUUACAAAAAAAAAAUCAAAAUUUUGUAAGAGCAUCUCCAAUGGUGUUACCACCAUUGGAGUCCUUAUGAUUAUUAAACUAAUUUUUUUUUUUUAGAAUAGUUAAGGAUUCUAAUCAAAAUAGUAUGUCCAAUGGUGUUUUCCUAUUU
Long non-coding RNA from Brassica rapa (field mustard), 149 nucleotides. RefSeq lists it as uncharacterized. The record is from RefSeq and is a predicted model, not a curated record. Lineage: Eukaryota; Viridiplantae; Streptophyta; Magnoliopsida; Brassicales; Brassicaceae.